RNAcentral lists this ribosomal RNA (370 nucleotides) under uncultured organism. Its description in RNAcentral is "bacterial SSU rRNA". It matches the Rfam family "Bacterial small subunit ribosomal RNA", at positions 528 to 896 of the family's 1533-position model. The record is from RNAcentral.
GAGGGGGCAAGCGUUGUUCGGAAUUACUGGGCGUAAAGGGCGCGUAGGCGGCCUGCUAAGUCGAACGUGAAAUCCCUGGGCUCAACCCAGGAACUGCGUCCGAUACUGGUUGGCUUGAAUUCGGGAGAGGGAUGUGGAAUUCCAGGUGUAGCGGUGAAAUGCGUAGAUAUCUGGAGGAACACCGGUGGCGAAGGCGGCAUCCUGGACCGAUAUUGACGCUGAUGCGCGAAAGCCAGGGGAGCAAACGGGAUUAGAUACCCCGGUAGUCCUGGCCCUAAACGAUGAAUGCUUGGUGUGGCGGGUAUCGAUCCCUGCCGUGCCGAAGCUAACGCAUUAAGCAUUCCGCCUGGGGAGUACGGUCGCAAGGCUG